RNAcentral lists this ribosomal RNA (501 nucleotides) under uncultured bacterium. RNAcentral's name for it is "partial 16S ribosomal RNA". It matches the Rfam family "Bacterial small subunit ribosomal RNA", at positions 30 to 523 of the family's 1533-position model. The record is from RNAcentral.
AUUGAACGCUGGCGGCAGGCUUAACACAUGCAAGUCGAGCGGGGGAAGGUAGCUUGCUACCGGACCUAGCGGCGGACGGGUGAGUAAUGCUAAGGAAUCUGCCUAUUAGUGGGGGACAACAUCUCGAAAGGGAUGCUAAUACCGCAUACGUCCUACGGGAGAAAGCAGGGGAUCUUCGGACCUCGCGCUAAUAGAUGAGCCUAAGUCGGAUUAGCUAGUUGGUGGGGUAAAGGCCUACCAAGGCGACGAUCUGUAGCGGGUCUGAGAGGAUGAUCCGCCACACUGGGACUGAGACACGGCCCAGACUCCUACGGGAGGCAGCAGUGGGGAAUAUUGGACAAUGGGGGGAACCCUGAUCCAGCCAUGCCGCGUGUGUGAAGAGGGCCUUAUGGUUGUAAAGCACUUUAAGCGAGGAGGAGGCUACUCUAGUUAAUACCUAGGGAUAGUGGACGUUACUCGCAGAAUAAGCACCGGCUAACUCUGUGCCAGCCGCCGCCGUAA